Molecule: ribosomal RNA, 494 nt
Filed under: uncultured bacterium
Lineage: Bacteria
Description: bacterial SSU rRNA
Rfam family: Bacterial small subunit ribosomal RNA
Source: RNAcentral
GACGAACGCUGGCGGCGUGGAUUAGGCAUGCAAGUCGAACGGUAGGAUCCUUUCGGGGAUCUGAGAGUGGCGAACGGGUGAGUAACACGUAGGUGAUCUACCCUCAAGACGGGGACAACCCAGGGAAACGUUGGGCGUAAUACCGGAUGUGAGCUAUCGCGAGAUAGUUUGAAAGGUGGCUUCGGCUGCCGCUUGAGGAUGAGCCUGCGUCCUAUUAGCUAGUUGGUGAGGUAACGGCUCACCGAGGCAGUGAUAGGUAGGCGGCCUUAACGGGUGGUCGCCCACACUGGGAUUGAGAUACGGCCCAGACUCCUACGGGAGGCAGCAGUCGAGAAUAGUCUACAAUGGUCGAAAGACUGAUAGUGCGACGCCGCGUGAACGAAGAAGCCCUUCGGGUGUAAAGUUCUUUUAUAUGUGAGCAGUGACACCCAUAUUAAUAGUAUGGGUGUAGAGAUAUUAGCAUAUGAAUAAGCAACGGCUAACUCCGUGCCAGC